GUCCCGUCCCGACCCGCCGCGGGCUCAGCAUCUCGCGGGUCCAGGCGGUACCGUCCCGCGCGGGCUGCGGUCCAGAGAAAGCCGGCCCAGUCCCGUACCGCAUAAUUUCACAGGCCCUUACAAGCCGUCCCGCGGGCUGGACGCGAAAGGAGUGCAGCAUGACGUUUCUCGACGCUGCAGGCUGCUCCAGUGACCACUACAUACCUAAGUGCACAUAAUGAAUGAUAUAUGAAC
RNAcentral lists this long non-coding RNA (234 nucleotides) under Brassica rapa (field mustard). RNAcentral's name for it is "long non-coding RNA (BRAP_LNC007137)". Lineage: Eukaryota; Viridiplantae; Streptophyta; Magnoliopsida; Brassicales; Brassicaceae. The record is from RNAcentral.